UUUUUUUGAAUUUUCACCGGGGGGGAGAUUUCUCCACCUGAAUUGUAUUCAUAUUGCCUAUAAGGCUUUGCAGCCUAUUGCAAGAUAGGUUCAAGUGAACCGGAAAUACAGGAGGGCACAAGAGGAGAAGAGAUAAAGAAAAAAAGACACACACAUACAACACACAAAACGGGGGAGAAACAAAGAGGGAAAGAACAGACAACACAACAAGAGCACCGCCAAAGUAGUCGAACGCCAUUGGCCAGCCUAGACCAAGCCAGGGCACUGUACCGUCGAUGCAAUCAAAAGGCGCCGCGCAUCCGAGAGUACACAACGCCGCGACACCACCUGUGCCGUGGGGUGCAAUCGAAAGGACACACCAGCCAAGACGACACCACGACACCUGUGUGCCACCGACAAGGCCGAAGGGCAUCAUCUAGUAGACCAAACCAAGACACUGCACCGUCGACGUAAUCGAAAAGCGCCGCGCAACCGAGACUGCCCAACGCCGCGACACCACCUGUGUCGUGGGGCGCAAUCGAAAGGUUACAUGAGCCGAGACGACGCCACAACACCUGUGUGCCACCGGUGUAGUCACAUAGGCAUCGCCACAAGACGAAGUGACGAAGACAAGGGAAGACGACCAACCCCCAAGCCACGGCCCUCCCGGGUGAGAGGAACCGCAUCCAUGGCCGCCACAGCAAAGCCAUGGAGCUCGCC
This 699-nucleotide long non-coding RNA is filed under the name Triticum aestivum (bread wheat). RNAcentral's name for it is "long non-coding RNA (TAES_LNC027877)". The record is from RNAcentral. Lineage: Eukaryota; Viridiplantae; Streptophyta; Magnoliopsida; Poales; Poaceae.